UAACGCGUGAGGAACCUGCCUUUCCGAGGGGGACAACAGUUGGAAACGACUGCUAAUACCGCAUGACACAUAGAGAUCGCAUGGUUUUUAUGUCAAAGAUUUAUCGCUGAAAGAUGGCCUCGCGUCUGAUUAGCUAGUUGGUGAGGUAACGGCCCACCAAGGCGACGAUCAGUAGCCGGACUGAGAGGUUGACCGGCCACAUUGGGACUGAGAUACGGCCCAG
Molecule: ribosomal RNA, 223 nt
Filed under: uncultured bacterium
Lineage: Bacteria
Description: partial 16S ribosomal RNA
Rfam family: Bacterial small subunit ribosomal RNA
Source: RNAcentral